Molecule: ribosomal RNA, 433 nt
Filed under: uncultured bacterium
Lineage: Bacteria
Description: partial 16S ribosomal RNA
Rfam family: Bacterial small subunit ribosomal RNA
Source: RNAcentral
AGCGAACGCUGGCGGCAGGCUUAACACAUGCAAGUCGAGCGGACCUUUCGGGGUCAGCGGCGGACGGGUGAGUAACGCGUGGGAACGUGCCUUCCGGUUCGGAAUAACCCUGGGAAACUAGGGCUAAUACCGGAUACGCCCUUAUGGGGAAAGGUUUACUGCCGGAAGAUCGGCCCGCGUCUGAUUAGCUAGUUGGUGGGGUAACGGCCUACCAAGGCGACGAUCAGUAGCUGGUCUGAGAGGAUGAUCAGCCACACUGGGACUGAGACACGGCCCAGACUACUACGGGAGGCAGCAGUGGGGAAUAUUGGACAAUGGGCGCAAGCCUGAUCCAGCCAUGCCGCGUGAGUGAUGAAGGCCUUAGGGUUGUAAAGCUCUUUUAUCCGGGACGAUAAUGACGGUACCGGAGGAAUAAGCCCCGGUUAACUUCGUG